AGAGUUUGAUCCUGGCUCAGGAUGAACGCUAGCGGCAGGCUUAACACAUGCAAGUCGAGGGGCAGCGAGGGUAGCAAUACCUGUCGGCGACCGGCGCAAGGGUGCGUAACGCGUGAGCAACAUGCCCGUAUCAGGGGGAUAAUCCAGGGAAACUUGGUCUAAUACCGCAUAAUAAUCAUUUGGGGCAUCUUGGAUGAUUUAAAAUUUCGAUGGAUACGGAUUGGCUCGCGUGACAUUAGCUGGAUGGAGAGGUAACGGCUCACCAUGGCUACGAUGUCUAGGGGUUCUGAGAGGAAGGUCCCCCACACUGGAACUGAGACACGGUCCAGACUCCUACGGGAGGCAGCAGUGAGGAAUAUUGGACAAUGGAUGGAAAUCUGAUCCAGCCAUGCCGCGUGCAGGAAGACGGCCCUAUGGGUUGUAAACUGCUUUUGUAUGGGAGCAAUAAGGGCUACGUGUAGCCUGAUGAGAGUACCAUACGAAUAAGGACCGGCUAACUCCGUGCCAGCAGCCGCGGUAAUACGGAGGGUCCGAGCGUUAUCCGGAUUUAUUGGGUUUAAAGGGUGCGUAGGCGGUUUUAUAAGUCAGCGGUGAAAUUUUCCGGCUCAACCGGGAUACUGCCGUUGAUACUGUAAGGCUAGGAUAUGGUUGCUGUGGGUGGAAUGUGUGGUGUAGCGGUGAAAUGCUUAGAGAUCACACAGAAUAUCGAUUGCGAAGGCAGCUCACAAAGCCAUUAUUGACGCUGAGGCACGAAAGUGUGGGGAUCAAACAGGAUUAGAUACCCUGGUAGUCG
RNAcentral lists this ribosomal RNA (793 nucleotides) under uncultured bacterium. RNAcentral describes it as "bacterial SSU rRNA". It matches the Rfam family "Bacterial small subunit ribosomal RNA", at positions 8 to 796 of the family's 1533-position model. The record is from RNAcentral.